CCUGAUCCAGCAAUGCCGCGUGCCGCGUGAGUGAAGAAGGCCUUCGGGUUGUAAAGCUCUUUUGUCAGGGAAGAAACGGUGAGGGCUAAUAUCCCUUGCUAAUGACGGUACCUGAAGAAUAAGCACCGGCUAACUACGUGCCAGCAGCCGCGGUAAUACGUAGGGUGCAAGCGUUAAUCGGAAUUACUGGGCGUAAAGCGUGCGCAGGCGGUUUUGUAAGUCUGAUGUGAAAUCCCCGGGCUCAACCUGGGAAUUGCAUUGGAGACUGCAAGGCUAGAAUCUGGCAGAGGGGGGUAGAAUCCACGUGUAGCAGUGAAAUGCGUACAUAUGU
This 331-nucleotide ribosomal RNA is filed under the name uncultured bacterium. RNAcentral's name for it is "bacterial SSU rRNA". It matches the Rfam family "Bacterial small subunit ribosomal RNA", at positions 382 to 699 of the family's 1533-position model. The record is from RNAcentral.